UAUUGGAUCCAGACUUUGAUUAUGGCUCAGGAUGAACGCUAGCUACAGGCUUAACACAUGCAAGUCGAGGGGAAACGAUAGAGAAAGCUUGCUUUUUCUAGGCGUCGACCGGCGCACGGGUGAGUAACGCGUAUCCAACCUGCCCACCACUUGGGGAUAACCUUGCGAAAGUAAGACUAAUACCCGAUGAUAUCUCUGGAAGACAUCUGAAGGAGAUUAAAGAUUUAUCGGUGAUGGAUGGGGAUGCGUCUGAUUAGCUUGUUGGCGGGGUAAUGGCCCACCAAGGCGACGAUCAGUAGGGGUUCUGAGAGGAAGGUCCCCCACAUUGGAACUGAGACACGGUCCAAACUCCUACGGGAGGCAGCAGUGAGGAAUAUUGGUCAAUGGGCGAGAGCCUGAACCAGCCAAGUAGCGUGCAGGAUGACGGCCCUAUGGGUUGUAAACUGCUUUUAUAAGGGAAUAAAGUGAGCCUCGUGAGACUUUUUGCAUGUACCUUAUGAAUAAGGACCGGCUAAUUCCGUGCCAGCAGCCGCGGUAAUACGGAAGGUCCGGGCGUUAUCCGGAUUUAUUGGGUUUAAAGGGAGCGUAGGCCGGAGAUUAAGCGUGUUGUGAAAUGUAGACGCUCAACGUCUGCACUGCAGCACGAACUGGUUUCCUUGAGUACGCACAAAGUGGGCGGAAUUCGUGGUGUAGCGGUGAAAUGCUUAGAUAUCACGAAGAACUCCGAUUGCGAAGGCAGCUCACUGGAGCGCAACUGACGCUGAAGCUCGAAAGUGCGGGUAUCGAACAGGAUUAGAUACCCUGGUAGUCCGCACGGUAAACGAUGGAUGCCCGCUGUUGGUCUGAAUAGGUCAGCGGCCAAGCGAAAGCAUUAAGCAUCCCACCUGGGGAGUACGCCGGCAACGGUGCAACUCAAAGGAAUUGACGGA
This 929-nucleotide ribosomal RNA is filed under the name uncultured organism. RNAcentral describes it as "bacterial SSU rRNA". It matches the Rfam family "Bacterial small subunit ribosomal RNA", at positions 1 to 917 of the family's 1533-position model. The record is from RNAcentral.